Centrocercus urophasianus (Greater sage-grouse) is the source of this 1035-nucleotide long non-coding RNA. RefSeq lists it as uncharacterized. The record is from RefSeq and is a predicted model, not a curated record. NCBI's taxonomy places the organism in Eukaryota, Metazoa, Chordata, Aves, Galliformes, Phasianidae. The transcript is spliced from 3 exons.
CUGACAAGUGGGUAACCACCGUCUUCUGUCAAUGCUGAACUUCCACAUAUUUCUACAGCUCUGAAGAACAGCCUUCACAGACCUGAAAUUUAGACCUGAUAAUUCUUCUCCAUGGGGGAGGCUCUCACGAAAGGAAAAGAUCCAUGCUUAGCCCAAGCUACCACAUACCAAGAAAUGAAAUACAAGGAAAAAAAUACAAUCGCAGGAGCUAAACACAAUCCCACACAUCCUGGUGUGCAUAUUAGAGAGGACACAGCAGAAGAGGUCUGCUAACCCAUGAACCCCUGUACACUACUGCCUGGUACAGCAACACCUGCUACAGACUUGGCAUCGUGCUCUGAGUUGCCCUGAGAAUCAUUACAGACUAAGUAGGGCUUCUUGUCUGGGAGAAGGCACAGACGAGUUCACUACAGCAGCAGCUUUCUGAAGUACUUGGCACUGCCUUAACUGCAGCACUCCAUGGACUUAAAAGAGAGCCAAGUAAGGACAACACUUGCUUUCAAGAUCUUCAUCAAACACACUCAUGCUUCCAUUUCUACAGUUAGAAAGCAGAGCACUCAGUGUAUUCCCAGAUAACUCCCAAGAAGUAUUUAGUAGGAUAUCAUGUAGUAUAUAAACAUAUAUAAACCUACUUUGCUGUUCUGACAUCAAUAGAACCCUUUAACUUUUCUUCACUGUCAUUUUCGAAGUACAUCAACCUGGACUGCCUGAGAACAAACCAUCGUUUCUUCCAGUUCCUUCUGGAAAGAGUGGAUGAUCCGCCCCCCUUUUUGUGAAGCCAACCCUGCUUGAGUGCUUCCUGCUUGGAGCGAAACCACAGGAAGGUCUCAUCUUUCAGGACACACCAGCGUCGUUUCCAUGUGUUUAUUAAGCCACCUGGCAAAAAGGAAUAGACAUGGGUUCAUGCAUAGUUAAGACAAACAAUUACAUUAUAAAAGAGAAGUUGUGACCAACCAACACUAGGAGAUGCUGGCCAACGUACUGCAGUUAAGUCUCUGCUGCAAGACAUGAAAUGAAAGAUCUAAUUCUUGCAUA